Molecule: ribosomal RNA, 163 nt
Filed under: Teucrium marum
Lineage: Eukaryota; Viridiplantae; Streptophyta; Magnoliopsida; Lamiales; Lamiaceae
Description: 5.8S ribosomal RNA
Rfam family: 5.8S ribosomal RNA
About the family: 5.8S ribosomal RNA (5.8S rRNA) is a component of the large subunit of the eukaryotic ribosome. It is transcribed by RNA polymerase I as part of the 45S precursor that also contains 18S and 28S rRNA.
Source: RNAcentral
AACAACUCUCGGCAACGGAUAUCUCGGCUCUCGCAUCGAUGAAGAACGCAGCGAAAUGCGAUACUUGGUGUGAAUUGCAGAAUCCCGUGAACCAUCGAGUCUUUGAACGCAAGUUGCGCCCCAAGCCUUCUGGCCGAGGGCACGUCUGCCUGGGUGUCACGCA